UGAGGGUGUUAAAGGGAGAAGGAGAAGAAGAGUAGGGGGGUAUGGGGAAUAUUUCAGGGACCUAUGUGCGAAGAAACUUUAGAUCUGGGGGCUGUUUUGCAUGUUGGUCACGAUUUUCUUUUAUUUCCUAGAUUAAAUGGCUGCAAAAUUUGAAAAUGUGUAGAAAAUCGUAUAAAAUGAGAAAAAUACAAAACCAACUUUGUUAGACUCUCUAAGUUGAGUAGUUUCACAGAAAAAUAAUUUUGUGAAUGUCACUAUAGUAGUUAUUUCUCUAGGAUAUAUUUUGUGUUCAAGCCAAUAAAUGCACCAUAAAUCACCUAAAAAUGGUAAAAUGACAAAUCCACUUCUGAUAGCUCUGUAUGUUAAGCCUGUGCUAAAUAAAAUAGUUGUGACCCUAGUUAGAUUUUAACACACUGUUUGAGAAUAAACUUUGAAAC
Molecule: long non-coding RNA, 437 nt
Filed under: Setaria viridis
Lineage: Eukaryota; Viridiplantae; Streptophyta; Magnoliopsida; Poales; Poaceae
Description: long non-coding RNA (SVIR_LNC004421)
Source: RNAcentral